GGGGAUGCGUGGUUUCGACAGGGGUUGGUUGGGCAGGAUUGCAGGUCGAGGUCGUCUCACCCUCGUUAAUAAUGUGACAAAAAAAUGACUGGCAACAAGCAAGUCGCACUGGCCGCGUAGAUUCGUGACCACGCUUUAUUCGCCCACCUCUGCGGUGAGUAAUAGCGAUAUAUAGUAGAGGUGCAAUGACUCCUAUGCCGCUAAGAGUCAUUUAAGAUUAGUGGUAGGCGCUCUAGCAGUUUGCUGGUGGACGUCUAGGUCGUGUGAUUAAAUCACCAGAUAUGCCUGUAGUACAUCCUGUACUUGCCUCUUCUGGACGGGGAGUUCAACUCUCCCCCAUCUCCACCA
This 348-nucleotide transfer-messenger RNA is filed under the name Dehalococcoidia. RNAcentral's name for it is "GCA-2719775 sp002719775 Standard tmRNA". It matches the Rfam family "transfer-messenger RNA". Rfam says of the family: Bacterial tmRNA, also known as 10Sa RNA or SsrA, is named for its dual tRNA and mRNA-like properties. Its role is to liberate the mRNA from a stalled ribosome. RNAcentral also lists the same sequence under 2 other names. The record is from RNAcentral. Lineage: Bacteria; Bacillati; Chloroflexota.